GAUGAACGCUGGCGGCGUGCCUAAUACAUGCAAGUCGAGCGAACAGAUAAGGAGCUUGCUCCUUUGACGUUAGCGGCGGACGGGUGAGUAACACGUGGAUAACCUACCUAUAAGACUGGAAUAACUCCGGGAAACCGGGGCUAAUGCCGGAUAAUAUUUAGAACCGCAUGGUUCUAUAGUGAAAGAUGGUUUUGCUAUCACUUAUAGAUGGAUCCGCGCCGUAUUAGCUAGUUGGUAAGGUAACGGCUUACCAAGGCAACGAUACGUAGCCGACCUGAGAGGGUGAUCGGCCACACUGGAACUGAGACACGGUCCAGACUCCUACGGGAGGCAGCAGUAGGGAAUCUUCCGCAAUGGGCGAAAGCCUGACGGAGCAACGCCGCGUGAGUGAUGAAGGUCUUCGGAUCGUAAAACUCUGUUAUUAGGGAAGAACAAAUGUGUAAGUAACUAUGCACGUCUUGACGGUACCUAAUCAGAAAGCCACGGCUAACUACGUG
RNAcentral lists this ribosomal RNA (497 nucleotides) under uncultured bacterium. RNAcentral's name for it is "partial 16S ribosomal RNA". It matches the Rfam family "Bacterial small subunit ribosomal RNA", at positions 28 to 507 of the family's 1533-position model. The record is from RNAcentral.